CCUACGGGCGGCAGCAGUAGGGAAUAUUGCUCAAUGGAGGAAACUCUGAAGCAGCAACGCAGCGUGGAGGAUGACGGUCUUCGGAUUGUAAACCUCUUUUUUUAGAGAAGAAAAUGACGGUACCUAACGAUUAAGCACCGGCUAACUCCGUGCCAGCAGCCGCGGUAAUACGUAGGGGGCGAGCGUUUCCCGGAAUCACUGGGCGUAAAGGGCGCGUAGGCGGGGUAGCAAGUCAGAUGUGAAAUCCUACGGCUUAACCGUAGAACUGCAUUUGAAACUGUUUGUCUAGAGUGUAGGAGAGGUAGGCGGAAUUCUUGGUGUAGGGGUGAAAUGCGUAGAGAUCAAGAGGAAUACUCAUGGCGAAGGCGACCGGCUGGGAUGUAACUGACGCUGAGGCUCGAAAGCGUGGGGAGCAAACAGGAUUAGAUACCCCAGUAGUC
RNAcentral lists this ribosomal RNA (440 nucleotides) under uncultured bacterium. RNAcentral describes it as "partial 16S ribosomal RNA". It matches the Rfam family "Bacterial small subunit ribosomal RNA", at positions 338 to 795 of the family's 1533-position model. The record is from RNAcentral.